RNAcentral lists this ribosomal RNA (1149 nucleotides) under uncultured Polycystinea. RNAcentral describes it as "bacterial SSU rRNA". It matches the Rfam family "Eukaryotic small subunit ribosomal RNA", at positions 1 to 1148 of the family's 1831-position model. The record is from RNAcentral. Lineage: Eukaryota; Polycystinea.
ACCUGGUUGAUCCUGCCAGUAGUCAUAUGCUUGUCUUAAAGAUUAAGCCAUGCAUGUCUAAGUAUAAGCAUUUAUACCGCGAGACUGCGGACUCUCCAUUUAAACAGCUAUGAUUUAUUUGAUGGUUCCUUUGCUACUAGAAUAACCGUAGUAAUUUCUAGAGCUAAUACAUGCACGAAAGAGAGCGAACUUACGAAGCCCUGUAUUUAUUAGAUUAAAGCCCAACCCACCUCCGGGUGUUCGUGGUGAAUCAUAGUAACUUCUCGGAUCGCCGGCUCUACGCCAGCGACGUGUCAUUCAAAUUUCUGCCCUAUCAGCUUUAGAUGGUAGGAUAUGGGCCUACCAUGGCGGUGACGGGUAACGGAGAAUUAGGGUUCGAUUCCGGAGAGGGAGCCUGAGAAACGGCUACCACUUCUAAGGAAGGCAGCAGGCGCGCAAAUUACCCAAUCCUGACUCAGGGAGGUAGUGACAAGAAAUAACAAUAAACCGGCUUAUGCCGGUUUAAUUGGAAUGAGUACAAUUUAAACAUCUUAACGAGGAACAAUUGGAGGGCAAGUCUGGUGCCAGCAGCCGCGGUAAUUCCAGCUCCAAUAGCGUAUACUAAAAUUGUUGCAAUUAAAAAGCUCAUAAUUAGAUUUCUGUAAAAGCAGAGCGGCCGGCUGCAACUUGCAGUACGAGCUAGCGCUUCCCCUACAUCCUGCCGCGAACCGUGCUACCAUUAGUUUAGUGGCGCCAAAGAUCGGCUCGUUUACUUUGAGAAAAAUAGAGUGUUCAAAGCAGGCCACACCCCUUGAAUAAGUUAGCAUGGAAUAAUAAUAAAGGACUUCGGUUCUAUUUUGUUGGUGUUCGGGACUGAAGUAAUGAUUGAUAGGGACAGUUGGGGCGGUCUGUAUUCCAAAGCGAGAGGUGAAAUUCUUAGACCUUCGGAAGACAAACAGCUGCGAAAGCGUUUCCGCAAGGAUGGUUCCCUUUUGAUCAAGAACGAAAGUCGAGGGAUCGAAGACGAUCAGAUACCGUCGUAGUCUCAACUAAAACCUAUACCAGCUAGGGAUCGGCCAACGUUAUUUCAUACCGACUUGGUCGGCACCUUAUGAGAAAUCAAAGCAUCUGGGUUCCGGGGGGAGUAUGGUCGCAAGGCUGAAACUUAAA